Long non-coding RNA from Takifugu rubripes (torafugu), 1574 nucleotides. NCBI's taxonomy places the organism in Eukaryota, Metazoa, Chordata, Actinopteri, Tetraodontiformes, Tetraodontidae. The record is from Ensembl.
GAUAACACUAAAAAUGCCUAAUAAAACAUAAAAAUAAUAAUAAUGCAUAAAUAAGGAUAUUACACUGAUACAUGAUACAUUAGAGAAGUUAAAAGACUGCAUACUUUUUAUGAUUUCAUUCUCAAAUCAUCAUCUCAUCUAAGUCUGGGGAAAGAGGCAGAAAUUUCUGUACACAAAUAUAAUCCUUUAGGUAAUUUCCUCUAGCCAGUAUGGAAACCACUGUAAUCCUCCAGCACAGGAAGUGUCUCACCAAUGUAUAUCCUUUUCUUGGCCUUAAAAAUUGCUCCAUGACAACAAAUGACAAAUAUAUAAAGAAAUACUUGCUCUGUGUAUUAUUCAAAACAAAUUCUUAAUUUACCAAUUCAUUUCAGUAGUAGUUUUUAAAACAAUACAUUUGCUAAUUGCAACUAUAAAAUUAUUUUACUUUCAGUUCCCGAUUGUCUUCCUAGAGCAGCAGAAAACUACAAGCUGUGUCAUCAUUCCUGUUUAUCCCCUGUCUACGAGACAAAAACAUUGAGAUGGAUGAUAUGGCACUGUGUAAAAAUACCUUCCUACAUCUUCCUACAUGAAGUGACACCUGACAAAGUGUGUCUGUACACAUGCGCCCACAAACACAGAGACAGAGAGUCAUAUUGUUACCGAGAAACAUAGUUCAGUUCUGGUUACAUUGAGCCUCAUAUCAUGUAAAUGUGUUGACACUGUAUGUUGCUUUGGACAGGAGUGGUCGGUGGCAGGAUGUUGGGGGCUGGGGGUUUGACUGGGGUGGAGGGAAACCAGCAGGAAUCAACAGCACUUGUAGAGCAACAAACUGACAGGUGGCUGCCUGGUCUAGUACUGCCUGUCACCCAGAAGAUGGAUGGUGUCUUACUUCUCCCAGGCGACAACAGUGACUGUGCUGUUACUCUGUGGUGCAUCCUGAUUCCCACUGACACCCACAGAAGACUGCCAAUUUUGUAUCACUGCUGAGCCGUUUGAUGGAGUCCUCUGCCUCUUUCUGUCUAGCUGGAACAAAUUGAGUAUGAGAAAAGAUAAUAUCCAUAAUGACCUUGUUUGGACUUUUCUGUUGUGGAAGCAAAUCAAUCAGUGGGUGGGUAGUUACUUUUACCCAGGCUAUACCCAGUCUAAGGCUAUACUGUAAGAUUUUCUCACUGGAUUGACAGGUAAAAAUGUCAUCAAAUAAGAAUUUGCAAACUGAAAAUUCUGAAUAUAAUUCUGCACCAAUGAACUGCACUUAAAUAUGAGCACAAAAUGUUUUACUGUAAUCCACUGAGUAACUGCAUGAAUAUAGUAAUGUAAAAUAUUACACUAAGCAUUGUAAAUGUAUAAAUGACACAAUUCCUUAAUAUCAUAAGUUUUACUGUCACAGUUCAUCUCAUUUAUAUGCAUGCUGAAGUCAUCCAUCUUAUGAUAUCUGUGAUUGCUUGAAAAGACAAGACAGGAGCGACUCCACAUCACCCCUAAUGACCUGCUCUUUACUUUUCUUUUUUCACUACUAUUCAGUAUAGCAAAUAGCAGUAGCAAUGAUGUGGUAUUAGCAGACCACAGAGAUUGGCCAGGUAGUGCAGCUGUUCCAG